GAUGAAGAACGUAGCGAAAUGCGAUAAGUAGUGUGAAUUGCAGAAUUCAGUGAAUCAUCGAAUCUUUGAACGCACAUUGCGCCCCCUGGUAUUCCGGGGGGCAUGCCUGUUCGAGCGUCAUUUCACCACUCAAGCCUCGCUUGGUAUUGGGCAAUGCGGUCCGCCGCCUGCCUCAAAUCGACCGGCUGGGUCUUCUGUCCCCUAAGCGUUGUGGAAACUAUUCGCUAAAGGGUGUUCGGGAGGCUACGCCGUAAAACAACCCCAUUUCUAAGGUUGACCUCGGAUCAGGUAGGGAUACCCGCUGAACUUAAGCAUAUCAAUAAGCGGAGGA
RNAcentral lists this unclassified non-coding RNA (331 nucleotides) under soil metagenome. Its description in RNAcentral is "partial contains 5.8S ribosomal RNA, internal transcribed spacer 2, and large subunit ribosomal RNA". The stretch from base 1 to 120 matches the Rfam family "5.8S ribosomal RNA", at positions 35 to 154 of the family's 154-position model. The record is from RNAcentral.